GACUGGGGGCUGCUUACACAUGCAGUCGACGAUGAUGCCCAGCUUGCUGGGCGGAUUAGUGGCGAACGGGUGAGUAAUACGUGAGUAACCUGCCCUUGACUCUGGGAUAAGCCUGGGAAACUGGGUCUAAUACUGGAUACUACCUCUUGCCGCAUGGUGGGUGGUGGAAAGGGUUUUACUGGUUUUGGAUGGGCUCACGGCCUAUCAGCUUGUUGGUGGGGUAAUGGCUCACCAAGGCGACGACGGGUAGCCGGCCUGAGAGGGUGACCGGCCACACUGGGACUGAGACACGGCCCAGACUCCUACGGGAGGCAGCAGUGGGGAAUAUUGCACAAUGGGCGGAAGCCUGAUGCAGCGACGCCGCGUGAGGGAUGACGGCCUUCGGGUUGUAAACCUCUUUCAGUAGGGAAGAAGCGAGAGUGACGGUACCUGCAAAAGAAGCGCCGGCUAACUACGUGCCAUCAGCCGCGGUAAUACGUAGGGCGCAAGCGUUGUCCGGAAUUAUUGGGCGUAAAGAGCUCGUAAGCGGUUUGUCGCGUCUGCUGUGAAAGCCCGGGGCUCAACCCCGGGUCUGCAUUGGGUACGGGCAGACUAGAGUGCAGUAGGGGAGACUGGAAUUCCUGGUGUAGCGGUGAAAUGCGCAGAUAUCAGGAGGAACUCCGAUGGCGAAGGCAGGUCUCUGGGCUGUUACUGACGCUGACGAGCGAAAGCAUGCGGAGCGAACAGGAUUAUAUACCCUGGUAGUCCAUGCCGUAAACGUUGGGCACUAGGUGUGGGGGACAUUCCACGUUUUCCGCGCCGUAUCUAACGCAUUAAGUGCCUCGCCUGGGGAGUACGGGCGCAUGGCUAAAUCUCACAGGAAUUGACGGGGGCCCGCACAAGCGGCGGAGCAUGCGGAUAAUAUCGAUGCAUCGCGAGAACCUUACCAAGGCUUGACAUCACCGGAUUGCCCUAGAUAUGGGGUUUCCCAUCGGGGCUGUUGACAUGGUGGUGCAUGAUUGUCGUCACUCGUGUCGUGUAGAUGUUGGGUAUGUCCCGCAAC
Molecule: ribosomal RNA, 1042 nt
Filed under: Kocuria rosea
Lineage: Bacteria; Bacillati; Actinomycetota; Actinomycetes; Micrococcales; Micrococcaceae
Description: bacterial SSU rRNA
Rfam family: Bacterial small subunit ribosomal RNA
Source: RNAcentral